This is a non-coding RNA of Oryctolagus cuniculus (rabbit), 1474 nucleotides long. Lineage: Eukaryota; Metazoa; Chordata; Mammalia; Lagomorpha; Leporidae. The record is from RefSeq and is a predicted model, not a curated record.
GCGCCGGAGCCCGCCUAGACGGCAGCGCGUUUGCUCCGCGCUUGCCGCGCCUCCGACCGCUCCUCCGCGCGCUCCUGGCCGCGGGAGCCGCUCGCCUUCUGGACCGCGCUCCUGGUGCUUCCAGGGUGCUGUGUGCAGGGAGCGAUCCCCAGAAACCACGCAGAUCUCCCGGGCGCAGCGGCCCGAGGGCUCCGAGUCAGCGGAGGGAGCGGUCCUUUCGUGACUUUCCGCUAGGAUUUCGCUUCAGAGCCCACCCGAGUUAGCGCACGCUGUCCCGCAGCCUCCUGCUCUGAAAUACAGAGCUCCGAGGGGCCUCCGCUCCCACAGCUGGCACGCCGCGAGCGGGGAGAGACCGCCCAGAAGGUGGAAGGGCCCUUUGGGGGGACGGUUUCCUCGCCCACGGUGCACCCGGAGACCCUCGGGCCGGCGCUCGCCGUACACAGCUCGGGCCUCAGAGUUCGGCACAGGCAGUUCCUUCAGUCACUCGUCAACCAGCGUUUGCUGGGACGCAGCAGGGGACAGGCUGACGAGGCCUUCUAGGACCCCACUUUGCAGUGGGGAUGACCAAGAAUUACCCAGGGAGGAAAAAUAAGUUUAAAGAGUGGCCAAAUGCUGUGAUUAAAUGAGGUGGUUUCUAGGUAGGGUGGUCUAGGAAGACCUCCAGGGGGUGACAUUUCUGCAGAGACCCGGAUCAGGAGCAGGGACCAGCCUUGGGCAGCCCCCUCCCGGGGGGGGGGGGUCGGGGGGAUUCAGUGCAAGGGUCCUGAGGUUGCACCCAGACAGACGGUUUAGGAACAGAAGGAAGGUCCCGGGUGGGGCUGGCCCUGAGGUCACAGUGGCUGCUGAGAUGAGCGUGAGCGUCACGCAGCUGCUGUAACUACUGACCUGUGACCAGGCGGCCUCACUCUGACAGUUCUGGGGCCAGUUCAGGUUCCCUGAGCCCCAAUCAGGGGUCCACAUGCCCCCUCCCUCUGGAGGCUCAGAGGCGGGGGCAGAAGUUUUCCCUGCUUUUCCAGCUUCUGCUGGUGGCCACGGCUUUCCUGAGUUUCCUGGCAGGGACCCAACCACUUGAGCCAUGACCUCCGCCUCCCAGGGUGUGCACCAGCAGGGAGCUGGGAUUAGGCUCAGGGGAGUGACUGGAACCUGGCACCUGAUAUGAGAUGUGGGUGACAUUGAACGAGUGGCCCAAAUGCUUGCCCUCUUCUCCUUUGUAAGGUGGCGUCCAACCAGCCGUCACUACAGUAUCACCAUAAGCAAUCUCACUUCCACAUCUCUGCACACGCGAGCAAGACUUUCUAUUGGAUCCGAUCCGCAAAGCAGUAUCACAUAGAUACAGACAAGGCUUCCGGAUCCACCUGGACGCAAACAACCACGGAUCAAAAACUCUCUUUCUCUCUGUCUUUUAUCCCUUUUCAAGUAGAUAAAAGUAAACAUCUAAAACAGAAAUAAAGAAGUUUUAAAAAAUAAAAUAAGA